RNAcentral lists this small RNA (921 nucleotides) under Oryza sativa Japonica Group (Japanese rice). RNAcentral's name for it is "sRNA Os08g0153101". The record is from RNAcentral. Lineage: Eukaryota; Viridiplantae; Streptophyta; Magnoliopsida; Poales; Poaceae.
GCCACUGCUUCCUACAAGUGCAACGACUUUGCCUGCGGGGAUGGAUAAUGAGAAUCCUUGGAGAAUUGGCUUAUCCUGCCUGGAUGGAUAGGCGAAAUGCACCCUACGGAAUUUUAUCUCCCCAUGAACCUUUCCUAGCACUGAUCCAUGUUUCUCAUAACUAAUGGAUGGCUUUCUUUUGAUAACCUUGAAUACUUCUUUUCCUGCAGCUUUUGCUUGAUUAAAGGUCUGAAGGUCUGGUGCAGCAUAAUUUGUACUGAUUAUCCAUGCACCGGACAAAGGAUCUCAUGGCCCGUUUCUCCCCAACAAAGGAGAAAACAGUCUUAAUAUGCGACAAAGUCUGCUCAGAAAAAGGUGUAGUAGGAUUAAGAAUUUAAAUCUUGUAGGCAAUCGUUUAUACUUCCAAUUAACUUGGCUUGAGCUGAUGUAAAUGAUUUACCUGUUCUACAAUAGAUGUUGCUUCUGAGACUAUAGCAUUACGAGAUAACGAUAUGCCAUUCAUCUGUUUCGUGUAUGUUGCUCCAAUGACGAGGAUCAGAGGAAUGACCAGAAAGGAGAGCAAUGCGACUUCCCAGCAGCUGGCAAAUGCAAUUAUGAUACCAGCAAAGAAAGUGGAGAAGCUCGCAACGAAAUGACCGAGCUGCAGAAAAUUGGGGUCAGGUGCAGUAGUGGUGCACAUUGGACCACAGUUUCACAAAUAUUAUGUGCAAUGUUCCAUAAAUCACGAAAUCCAUUACCUUCUCACCAAUUGCAUCUUGUAUGACACUCAUGUGGUUGGUUACUCCGGUGAUGAUUUUUGCAGUGGUCAAGUCAGUGUCGAAGGCCCCAACCUCUUGAUUAAGUACUGAUCUCAGAAAUGCUAGCCGCAUGCGUGCUAAUUGUCUUUCACUUGAGUAUAUCCAGCAUGAGAUCUCUGCAUGC